Molecule: long non-coding RNA, 538 nt
Organism: Ziziphus jujuba (common jujube)
Lineage: Eukaryota; Viridiplantae; Streptophyta; Magnoliopsida; Rosales; Rhamnaceae
Exons: 2
Source: RefSeq, a predicted model, not a curated record
AUAUACAUGCACAAAAAGUUUUGGAAUUGGUGGAAAAAAAUAUCCAAAGUUGCAGUGUGGCGCACCGACUUUAAGGAGAAAGCCAGAAGCUUUGAGUAAGUUGUUAAACCGACAUGGACAAGCUAUAUAAACAAAAAAUUAGGCUGCCAGGUAAUCUGAGCUACUCAAUAGAGUAGAGUAGGCUCUGGAGAAAGAGCUAUUAUGUUAGAGUCAGUAAAGAAUAAAGAGUGGUGUUGAAGAGUUUAAAUUGCUAUUAUGCGUAUUUAUUCUCUCUCCUUCUUUUUGGGUCUCUCAGCUCUUUCCCUCCUCAGCCCAAGGAUCGCCACUUCCUGUACACUGAAGCCGACGGCCAACACCAUGUCGACUAUAAGAGAUGUAGAUGUCGUAAAAGGCUCAGCCAUUGUAGAUGAAUAAAACCAAAAUAAAUAUAAGGAGAGUAUUUGAUUGUAGUUACAGCAGUUGUAAGUAAUCAAGUCCACCUCGAAUAGGCUAUGUAUAAGUGAUAAAAGAGAAAGUAUUACAACAAUAUUAGUUACAA